GACGAACGCUGGCGGCGUGCUUAACACAUGCAAGUCGAACGGUGAAGCUCCAGCUUGCUGGAGUGGAUCAGUGGCGAACGGGUGAGUAACACGUGAGCAACCUGCCCCUGACUCUGGAAUAAGCGCUGGAAACGGCGUCUAAUACUGGAUACGAGAAGGAUCCGCAUGGGCACUUUCUGGAAAGUUUUUCGGUUGGGGAUGGGCUCGCGGCCUAUCAGCUUGUUGGUGAGGUAAUGGCUCACCAAGGCGACGACGGGUAGCCGGCCUGAGAGGGCGACCGGCCACACUGGGACUGAGACACGGCCCAGACUCCUACGGGAGGCAGCAGUGGGGAAUAUUGCACAAUGGGCGAAAGCCUGAUGCAGCGACGCCGCGUGAGGGAUGACGGCCUUCGGGUUGUAAACCUCUUUCAGCAGGGAAGAAGCGAAAGUGACGGUACCUGCAGAAGAAGCACCGGCUAACUACGUG
RNAcentral lists this ribosomal RNA (468 nucleotides) under uncultured bacterium. Its description in RNAcentral is "partial 16S ribosomal RNA". It matches the Rfam family "Bacterial small subunit ribosomal RNA", at positions 28 to 507 of the family's 1533-position model. The record is from RNAcentral.